Xiphophorus hellerii (green swordtail) is the source of this 354-nucleotide long non-coding RNA. RefSeq lists it as uncharacterized. The record is from RefSeq and is a predicted model, not a curated record. The transcript is spliced from 3 exons. Lineage: Eukaryota; Metazoa; Chordata; Actinopteri; Cyprinodontiformes; Poeciliidae.
GAGAGGCAGAGGUGGAAGCCUGGACUCCGACGACGUUUCCUGUCGCAUUGUAGCUGACGCGUCCAUACAGCAUGCACAGACCACCGAAGUUACCCUGACACAGAGAGAAAGACAGAGUUCCAUACAAGGGAGAGAGGAUGGGCGCGACUAGCGACUCGAUCACAAGACUCGCUUAUUACUGGCGCACAUGUUCACAUUUCCUCCAACAUUUCUAACAAAAACACACUAAGCACUCCCCGGAACAGAGAAGUGAGUUCCCCCGGAAGAGAGAGCGCGGCGCCCCGGUGGAAGCCCCGGUAGAAGCGGGGUUUCUCCGUGAAUCUCACCUGGACGAUGGUGAGGGAGGCGGCGGCG